This is an RNA transcript of Populus euphratica (Euphrates poplar), 3346 nucleotides long. RefSeq lists it as uncharacterized. The transcript has 4 exons. The record is from RefSeq and is a predicted model, not a curated record. NCBI's taxonomy places the organism in Eukaryota, Viridiplantae, Streptophyta, Magnoliopsida, Malpighiales, Salicaceae.
GUUAAUUACUCGUUUAAAUAAAUAACUAUUAAAUGUUGACUCAAGGUUCAAAAUCAGGAAGUCAAUGAAUGGAGUCCACCAAAUCUAUCUCUCAUGAUUUUAAGACUCUUUAGCUCCAAUAGGUAGAGGAACCAACAAAAAUGUUGACAAGAAAAGAUAAAUGUUUCCAAAUGGUUUGAUGAUUUGGAUUGUGCCAACAGUGCUGUAACAUGAGAAGUUUUGCUUUGUUGGCCUAAUUGUACACAAAUGCCUCUGGCUUAUUAUUAUAUUUUUUUACUUGAAGACACCGUCAUAGCUAAAAGUGUAUGCAUCAGUAGCAUAUAAACUGUGACAAAUGGGGAAUGGAUGCACAGGACUAUUCAUUCUUCAGAAUUAUUUUGAAAUAGCUUCUUACUGUCUAUAGAUAGAUAAGGUAAUUCAUGCUUUAGCUUAGGAAACAUUAUCAGAGAUGCAAUUGCAAUUUUAUUAUUUUUUUUGCAUCGCAUUCUAUUAUAUUGUAUUUGAAUCUUGCAUAUUUGUUAGAGAAAUGAUCCACACUAUUUUCUGUUCCCUUAUAUAUAUAUAUAUAAUGAGAGAGUUCAGACCAAGAAAACACUAAAAAUAGACAAAGCUGUCCCAACCAUAAUAGCUAAUAAAAUUGAUGAAAAAAUAACAGGGAAAAGCCAGAGGUCACCAAAUAAAGUUAAAAAUUUCAGUCAACAUUGAACACAACUUGAAAACGUAAUAAGGAGAAGCAAGCAACACCGCUAGCUACAACUCACAGUAAAGAAAAACACACAAACACAAAGUCCAAACUUCACUCGGACUAAAAUAGCAGACCAAGCUAGAUGAGUGAAACAGAGAAGAACCCAGAGUUAGGAACUUGAAGAGAGACAUGGGAAGAAAAGAAAAGGCUGUGGAGAGAGAAGGAAAAGGAAAAAAUAAAGGAGAUAUAUUGAAGAGUGAGAAAAAAGAUGAAAGGAUUUGGCUUCAACUUGGAUUUAAAGAUUGAAAAAUGAUAACUGAAUUUUGAAAUAAUGGUUUAAAUUUUGACAAUGGUUCUGCAUUGAUAAAAAAGAAAAGAAAAGCUGCUAAAUCAUCCACCUGUAACUGCUCUGAAUUUUGACAAUGGUUCUGCAUGGAAACUUUUGGAGAAAUUGAUUUCUAGAGCAGCCAUGAUGUGCUACAGGCUGAAAUCUGACACUUUCGAAGUUUUGAAAUUUUUAGGAUAAUUUUGGUGAUAUUCGGGGACUCAUGAUGGCAUAACCUCUUUAAUGAUUUGCCACCUUGAAUUGCUGUGAGAAACUUCAGAACUUAUAUGAUGUGCAGGAAAUUGCAUGAUUGUCCACAUUUAUGUCACGAGGCAUGUUGUCCAGCUCAAUGCCCAUCACCUGACAAGUGCACCAAAAUGGUACCAAUUUCUCACCUCAUCAUACAACGAUUAGUGAAAAGGAACAUUUUGUUAAUGUACAAAACGUUAAUGUUAUUUCAGCUUCCAGUUAUUAACUUGAUUUGUCAUACCAACUCUAUACAAGGUCUCUAUUCAUUAUCAAUGCCAAGCCUUGAAAUAGGAGAUGCCAUGUCAAGAGGGUUUAAGCUGCAUAUUGUAAAGCAGGCUCUGAUCCCAAAGAUACAUCUGAAAACCAUUUUGGACCUGAACUUCUUCCUUGGAAUUCUGCUUGCAAAAGUACAGGUCGUGGAUCAGGAAUUGCAUUUGUGUAAACCCAAAGAUUUGGAGGUUAUGUGAUGAAACAGCCAACUGGAUAUAUUUCCAUUACAAUAAGGAAAGUUAUUUCAUUAAAUGAUACAUUAUGAAAAGGUUCCAGCCACUAAAAUUCAUUCACCUAAGCACCAAAAUCGGCGUGAACGACUGCAAGAGCAAAGAAGACCUCACAAAAUGCGGGUAUGUUACUCUUCAGAAGCAAAGACCAAUUUUUUUAACUGCUUUUUUGUCAUGAUGGCUUGUUUUGAAGCAGAAGAUGCUGCCGCUAUGAGGUGGCUUUUUCUAAUAGUCACCCUUGUGGUGACUCUGGUGGCAGCAGCAUAUUUUGGUAACAAAGGUCUCAUGUGCUCUCCGAUUGGAUGGAUGAAGUUGAAGAGCAACGAGACAGAGAACCAUGAAUCCAAUCAUUGUCAAUGUCGUCACUUGAGUCGUCAUCAAGUUACAUUGCUUGAACUCUGAUAGGCAUUUACUGGUUACCAUAUUUUUUACAUCAAAUGGCUGUCUGGUGAAUGUACUGGGGGGUUUGUUUUCCUUGUUAGCAGUAGUCUUUCCGACUCACAUACAAAAGUGGCGAGCAUCACCUGAUUUGGGCAAAAAAAACAGGCGAUUGAUUUUGACGUGAAUUUGGAACAUGGGUGUGAGCAUGGACACAACCGAUAAGUCUGUCAGUACAUAUUUGAUUUAUGAAGCGAGACAUGAUUCUGAUCUUUCUCUAUUCGGUGCAUCCAAGAGAAAGGGCUUUUUAGCAUCGGCCAAACUACCUGAAGAAUCAGCCAUUUGGCUUUCUCAUGGUUUUCCAACAAGAAGCUGGAUUGGUCUAAAGUUUUGGUUUGGACAAAAUUUACCAUUGAAACAAGACUGUAGGGACCAGCACGUGUCUGACUUGCUCGAUGUCUUCACUUUUUUCAGCCUUUUUUUUCAUCCUAUCCAGGUAAAACGUCAGCAAAUGCAUGAAUAUAACAGAAGUUGUGCUUGGAUGACGGUCAACAGCAGGGAUAUUGUGAAUACGAUAUGAUUGGAUUAGAUCGUGCCCAGAAUAUUCGAGUGGUGGUUGAAAGGUAGAAAAGGGAACUCCAAGGUGGUGUCUUUGCCUACGUGUGCGAGAGAGCGGGGAUGACAAGUAAUGCGAGAUGCUAUGGUUUGUAACAAAAUCAAAUCAAAUCAAUUACUUGUUUUUUCAAUAGAUAGAGUCAGGGUGAACAGUUAAACCCUAUCGGAUCUCAAAAUUAAUUGCAAAAUUCACAAUUGCAAAUUUAAUUAGAGAAGGGUCUUGUCACCACAAUAUCGAUGGGUGGUUUUACACAAGCUAUAAAUCACUGCAUGGACGUGAAAUGCAAGAGCACUUGUGUUCAUCAUUAGGCACAUGUGAUAUGUUUGCAGCUCAUUCUUGCCAGCCCAUGAACUGUUAAUGCAUCCCUUUGGCCUGUAGUCGUCUCCAGUGACUGUUUUCCGGUACCAUGAAAAUUAUUUGGCCUAAUCAUGCAGUUAAAUGUUGUUUAAAUACAUAUGGGAAAAAAAACCACAUGGUGUUGUUGGGAGGCUGUACAUAAAUAAGGGCAGAAUUUUUUCACCUUGGAUUGAGUACUCUCAAUCUGUAUGUCCUCUUGCUACAAAACGAUUCACUGACAACGAAUUUCAAGAACA